AUCAGUGCCUUGAUGACAAGGGAAUUGGAAUCCAUUAAAUCUGCACCGCAAGUAUCCGUAUUUCAUCAAGAUAAGCCUAAAACUGUUCCUGUUUCAGUUCCCUGUAGUGCGGAUUCUCCUAAAAGACAAGCAAGAAAAUCAUCAGAUGAAGCAAGCAGCAGUGGCUGUAGCAAUACCAUUAAUCGUAGAAGCCCUGAAACACCUCGGAAAAUGAAAAGCUUUAGCAAAAGCACUCACCGAAUGCCAAUGCUCCGCUCUGAGAAUGUUACAUUGGAUAGAACUCCUAGUAGGGAGAAAACAAACAAGAAAGGACCUAACAUUGUGGAAGUUGUGGACAUAA
RNAcentral lists this long non-coding RNA (340 nucleotides) under Ricinus communis (castor bean). RNAcentral's name for it is "long non-coding RNA (RCOM_LNC001555)". The record is from RNAcentral. Lineage: Eukaryota; Viridiplantae; Streptophyta; Magnoliopsida; Malpighiales; Euphorbiaceae.